AUAGAAUUCGUCCUCGAAUUCUUAGUUGCGAAAUUGCUCGUCUUCACAACAUUCUCCAAGCGUCUCCAUAACCUCUUUACUCUGUCCACAACUGUUCCUUGAGUGUCCUCCUCAAGGUCUCCACAAUCGUCUUCAUAUCUCUUGACUUGAAUGAUCACUGUGUCUUCUUCUUAGUUUUUACUUUGCUGCCCAACUAAUUUCCCAUGAUACGAUCUUGCCAAUCUGCGCCUCUGAUUACUCCAACCAUUUCCUCGAUCUCUCAUUUACCAGAUACUGAUGAAGUCCUUCCCCAAUGAAGUCUUGUUUCCUCCCAUCUCUCCAGUCCAUACCACUGUCCAAUUCUCUGAAUCUGCCUCCACUCUUUCGCUUCGGGUUUGGGUUUGGCCUCGAACUCUCUCCACUUUAAGGUUUUCAUCCCUUAAAGUACCGAUCAACAAACGCACUUACUCGCUGCAACUCAAAAGAACACCUAACAUGCAAGUUAGUAGACAAUUAAUCAAAUAAUCUACUAACCUAGAAAAUACUAACUAUGCAACCUAACCGCAAUUCUAACCAGCAACCUAACAGUUCUAACCAAGCAACCUA
RNAcentral lists this long non-coding RNA (585 nucleotides) under Brassica napus (rape). RNAcentral describes it as "long non-coding RNA (BNAP_LNC001748)". The record is from RNAcentral. Lineage: Eukaryota; Viridiplantae; Streptophyta; Magnoliopsida; Brassicales; Brassicaceae.